Molecule: ribosomal RNA, 254 nt
Filed under: uncultured bacterium
Lineage: Bacteria
Description: partial 16S ribosomal RNA
Rfam family: Bacterial small subunit ribosomal RNA
Source: RNAcentral
UACGGAGGGGGCGAGCGUUAUUCGGAAUUAUUGGGCGUAAAGGGCGCGUAGGCGGCCACCGCAAGUCGACUGUGAAAUCUCCGGGCUUAACCCGGAAAGGUCAGCCGAUACUGCGGGGCUAGAGUGCAGAAGGGGCAACUGGAAUUCUCGGUGUAGCGGUGAAAUGCGUAGAUAUCGAGAGGAACACCUGCGGCGAAGGCGGGUUGCUGGGCUGACACUGACGCUGAUGUGCGAAAGCUAGGGGAGCGAACGGG